This 497-nucleotide ribosomal RNA is filed under the name uncultured bacterium. Its description in RNAcentral is "partial 16S ribosomal RNA". It matches the Rfam family "Bacterial small subunit ribosomal RNA", at positions 28 to 507 of the family's 1533-position model. The record is from RNAcentral.
GAUGAACGCUGGCGGCGUGCCUAAUACAUGCAAGUCGAGCGAACGGACGAGAAGCUUGCUUCACUGAUGUUAGCGGCGGACGGGUGAGUAACACGUGGAUAACCUACCUAUAAGACUGGGAUAACUUCGGGAAACCGUAGCUAAUACCGGAUAAUAUUUUGAACCGCAUGGUUCAAAAGUGAAAGACGGUCUUGCUGUCACUUAUAGAUGGAUCCGCGCUGCAUUAGCUAGUUGGUAAGGUAACGGCUUACCAAGGCAACGAUGCAUAGCCGACCUGAGAGGGUGAUCGGCCACACUGGAACUGAGACACGGUCCAGACUCCUACGGGAGGCAGCAGUAGGGAAUCUUCCGCAAUGGGCGAAAGCCUGACGGAGCAACGCCGCGUGAGUGAUGAAGGUCUUCGGAUCGUAAAACUCUGUUAUUAGGGAAGAACAUAUGUGUAAGUAACUGUGCACAUCUUGACGGUACCUAAUCAGAAAGCCACGGCUAACUACGUG